UAAUAGGGCUUGGGGACCUCUCUCUCACCCUCAGUUGCUCUCUCUCUCUCUCUCACUCUUUCCCUUUCUCUCUCUAGGAAAGAAAAGAAAAGAAAGAGAAGAAGGAGAAGAAAGAAAAGAAGGAAAAGAGGAAGAAGUUGAAGGAGAAGUUCAAGAAGAAGAAGAAGAAGGUCUUCUUCUCUCCCUCCUUCAAGCUAAGGCAAGCUUGGAGCUUGGCUUAGAGGUAAGCUUCCACCCCUUUAAUGGUAAUUCUAGGGUUUUGGGUUUUUAUGGUUUAGAAUUGGUUCAAAUGGAACCUAUUGGGAAUGAAUAGAUGGUUCGAGCUCAAAAUCGAAGCUCGCACCACGGAUUUCUCCGUUGUUGAGACCUAGGGCUUGGAAUUGGGAUUUUGGGAAAUCUAGGGUUUUGAUCUAAUUUGUUGGGUCGCUAACCUAAUUGCUAGGUCUCUAAACGCGUCGGCGAAGACGGUUUGCCGAUCCGACGAGCGGGUGCGGAGUUAUCGCCGAGUCGGGUACUCGAGGGCUCGCUUUGCCCCGAGGAGUUGAAGCGACGUGCAAAGACCGCAACGUCGAGUUUUCUAUCAUCGCGGCAUCGCCAAGAGGUGGGUGGUGUCCAUCCCGAAGCAAUCGGGCUCCCUCCUAUGUCUUAGUAUAUUUGAUCUUGCAUCUUGUAUUAUUGCAUUAUAGGAUUUGUAUGCAUUGCCUUUCCUUAUGUUUUUCCUUCAUGGUAUCGUAGUGUGCAUCGGAUAAUUGAUAUAUUGGAUUGAUAAGGAUUGGGUCGAGAUUGUGAAUCCUAUGAUGUAGAGAAAAUGAUGAAGUAUGAACGAGUGGCAUCUAGUUAAUAGUAAACUAUGAAUGAGUGGCAUCUAGUCGAUAGCGGACAAACGGACAAUCU
Molecule: long non-coding RNA, 894 nt
Filed under: Ananas comosus (pineapple)
Lineage: Eukaryota; Viridiplantae; Streptophyta; Magnoliopsida; Poales; Bromeliaceae
Description: long non-coding RNA (ACOM_LNC001957)
Source: RNAcentral